This 335-nucleotide unclassified non-coding RNA is filed under the name soil metagenome. Its description in RNAcentral is "partial contains 5.8S ribosomal RNA, internal transcribed spacer 2, and large subunit ribosomal RNA". The stretch from base 1 to 120 matches the Rfam family "5.8S ribosomal RNA", at positions 35 to 154 of the family's 154-position model. The record is from RNAcentral.
GAUGAAGAACGCAGCGAAAUGCGAUAAGUAGUGUGAAUUGCAGAAUUCAGUGAAUCAUCGAAUCUUUGAACGCACAUUGCGCCCCUUGGUAUUCCAUGGGGCAUGCCUGUUCGAGCGUCAUUUGUACCUUCAAGCUCUGCUUGGUGUUGGGUGUUUGUCUCGCCUCUGCGUGUAGACUCGCCUCAAAACAAUUGGCAGCCGGCGUAUUGAUUUCGGAGCGCAGUACAUCUCGCGCUUUGCACUCAUAACGACGACGUCCAAAAGUACAUUUUUACACUCUUGACCUCGGAUCAGGUAGGGAUACCCGCUGAACUUAAGCAUAUCAAUAACGGAGA